CAAGAGCGUAUAUUAAAGUUGCUGCGGUUAAAAAGCUCGUAGUUGGAUUUCAGUCUAGGAAGGUUAACUCGCCGAAAGGUUGUACGUUGAUUUUCCUCAGACUUCGUCAGAAGCUCGUGCUGCACUUAACUGUUUGGUACGAUGUUCUGACCUUUUACCUUGAGGAAAGUAGAGUGUUUCAGGCAGGCUACCCAGCUUGAAUACAUUAGCAUGGAAUAAUGAAAUGGAUCUCGGUUCGAUUUCGUUGGUUCUAGAGCUGAGGUGAUGAUCAAUAGGAACAGGCGAAGGUAUUCGUACUUGAGAGUGAGGAGUGAAAUCCGAUGAUCUCUUAAAGACGAUCCGAGGCGAAAGCAUUUGUCAAGGAUGUUUUCAUUGA
Molecule: ribosomal RNA, 376 nt
Filed under: uncultured eukaryote
Lineage: Eukaryota
Description: partial 18S ribosomal RNA
Rfam family: Eukaryotic small subunit ribosomal RNA
Source: RNAcentral